RNAcentral lists this ribosomal RNA (785 nucleotides) under uncultured Neocallimastigales. RNAcentral describes it as "partial large subunit ribosomal RNA". It matches the Rfam family "Eukaryotic large subunit ribosomal RNA", at positions 22 to 644 of the family's 3401-position model. Lineage: Eukaryota; Fungi; Neocallimastigomycota; Neocallimastigomycetes; Neocallimastigales. The record is from RNAcentral.
CAUAGCGACUAUCGUGGCAUAUCAAUAAGCGGAGGAAAAGAAACUAACAAGGGAUUCCCUUAGUAACGGCGAGUGAAGCGGGGAAGAGCUCAAAUUUGAAAUCUUCAAGGUUCUACCUUGACGAAUUGUAGUUUAUAGAAGUGUUUUCUGUUAGUGAAGUUGGCUAAAAGUUCUUUGGAAUAGGACAUCAUAGAGGGUGAGAAUCCCGUAUUUGGUACCAUUCCUCCUAGCUGUUGUGAUACACUUUCAACGAGUCGGAUUGUUUGGGAAUGCAGUCCAAAAUGGGUGGUAAAUUUCAUCUAAAGCUAAAUAUUGGCGAGAGACCGAUAGCGAACAAGUACCGUGAGGGAAAGAUGAAAAGAACUUUGAAAAGAGAGUUAAACAGUACGUGAAAUUGUCAAAAGGGAAGCGUUUGACACCAGUGUUGUUUUUCCGAGAAUCAAUUACUAAUGGAUUUGUUUUGAGGAGUGUAUGACUUCAUCGGCUUGCUCCGUUUCUUUACUGACUUUCGUGAAUGCACUUUUCGGUUAACAAGUCAACAUCAAUUUCUUUUGUUGUAAAAGGGUAUGAGGAAGGUGGCUUUCUUUUCGGAGAAAGUGUUUAUAGCCUUGUGCCUCUACAAUCGGAGAGAUUGAGGUCUGCAGCGUAGAUCCUUCGGGGUUAGAUACGUUUGUGCUAAGUUAUAGCUUGUCAUAGACAACUUGUUGACUAUGUUCAGUCAUUGUAGCUUACUCGCUGACUGCUAUUUUACCUACGCUUAGGAUGUUGAUAGUCACAGCGUGUAC